AGAGUUUGAUCAUGGCUCAGGAUGAACGCUGGCGGCGUGCUUAACACAUGCAAGUCGAACGGAGACAUAUUUUGAAGUUUUCGGAUGGAAAGAUAUGUUCUUAGUGGCGGACGGGUGAGUAAUGUAUGAGCAACCUACCUUUAAGAGGGGGACAACAGUUGGAAACGACUGCUAAUACCGCAUAAUGCGAAUUUGCCGCAUGGCAGAUUUGCCAAAGGAGCAAUCCGCUUAAAGAUGGGCUCA
This 243-nucleotide ribosomal RNA is filed under the name uncultured bacterium. RNAcentral's name for it is "partial 16S ribosomal RNA". It matches the Rfam family "Bacterial small subunit ribosomal RNA", at positions 8 to 233 of the family's 1533-position model. The record is from RNAcentral.